GAUGAACGCUGGCGGCGUGCCUAAUACAUGCAAGUCGAGCGAACGGACGAGAAGCUUGCUUCUCUGAUGUUAGCGGCGGACGGGUGAGUAACACGUGGAUAACCUACCUAUAAGACUGGGAUAACUUCGGGAAACCGGAGCUAAUACCGGAUGAUUUUUUGAACCGCCUGGUUCAAAAGUGAAAGACGGUUUUGCUGUCACUUAUAGAUGGAUCCGCGCUGCAUUAGCUAGUUGGUAAGGUAACGGCUUACCAAGGCAACGAUGCAUAGCCGACCUGAGAGGGUGAUCGGCCACACUGGAACUGAGACACGGUCCAGACUCCUACGGGAGGCAGCAGUAGGGAAUCUUCCGCAAUGGGCGAAAGCCUGACGGAGCAACGCCGCGUGAGUGAUGAAGGUCUUCGGAUCGUAAAACUCUGUUAUUAGGGAAGAACAUAUGUGUAAGUAACUGUGCACAUCUUGACGGUACCUAAUCAGAAAGCCACGGCUAACUACGUG
Molecule: ribosomal RNA, 497 nt
Filed under: uncultured bacterium
Lineage: Bacteria
Description: partial 16S ribosomal RNA
Rfam family: Bacterial small subunit ribosomal RNA
Source: RNAcentral